GAUGAACGCUGGCGGCGUGCCUAAUACAUGCAAGUCGAGCGAACAGACGAGGAGCUUGCUCCUCUGACGUUAGCGGCGUACGGGUGAGUAACACGUGGAUAACCUACCUAUAAGACUGGGAUAACUUCGGGAAACCGGAGCUAUUACCGGAUAAUAUAUUGAACCGCAUGGUUCAAUAGUGAAAGACGGUUUUGCUGUCACUUAUAGAUGGAUCCGCGCCGCAUUAGCUAGUUGGUAAGGUAACGGCUUACCAAGGCAACGAUGCGUAGCCGACCUGAGAGGGUGAUCGGCCACACUGGAACUGAGACACGGUCCAGACUCCUACGGGAGGCAGCAGUAGGGAAUCUUCCGCAAUGGGCGAAAGCCUGACGGAGCAACGCCGCGUGAGUGAUGAAGGUCUUAGGAUCGUAAAACUCUGUUAUUAGGGAAGAACAAAUGUGUAAGUAACUAUGCACGUCUUGACGGUACCUAAUCAGAAAGCCACGGCUAACUACGUG
This 497-nucleotide ribosomal RNA is filed under the name uncultured bacterium. Its description in RNAcentral is "partial 16S ribosomal RNA". It matches the Rfam family "Bacterial small subunit ribosomal RNA", at positions 28 to 507 of the family's 1533-position model. The record is from RNAcentral.